RNAcentral lists this microRNA (21 nucleotides) under Homo sapiens (human). RNAcentral's name for it is "hsa-miR-3663-5p". Lineage: Eukaryota; Metazoa; Chordata; Mammalia; Primates; Hominidae. The record is from miRBase by way of RNAcentral.
GCUGGUCUGCGUGGUGCUCGG